RNAcentral lists this long non-coding RNA (531 nucleotides) under Serinus canaria (Common canary). RNAcentral's name for it is "lncRNA (ENSSCAG00000012024.1)". The record is from RNAcentral. Lineage: Eukaryota; Metazoa; Chordata; Aves; Passeriformes; Fringillidae.
CCUUCCGCCAGGGGAAACCCCUCCCCUGACAGGCCCUUUGACGGCCCCAGGGCGGGGAGAACGACGGAGAAAAGAAGGAGAAAUCCCCGCAUUCCCCGCAGUUCCCGCUGAGAGCAAGUGCGGGGCCAGCCCGAUCUUUCUGCGUCCUCUCGGGGGAUUCUUUUAUCGUAGGCUUGAGGCUGCUGAAAACUUUUUGGGAAGCUUUUUGGCCUCAUCCUGCAAACACUUCUGCAUGAGUCUCAAGCCACACGCUCCAGCCUUUCUAUUCAAGGAAGAGAGAAGGAAACCCUGACUCUUUUCUCUGCUCUUUGCUUCAUUUCCCAAGGCAAGUAGGGGAGGAAGUGGUGGAAACAGAAGGUGUGGGUUGUGCCACCCGAGUGCCCCUGUGCCCAGAGCCAGAGUGGGCAGCAAGGUGAGGAGCAGCCAGGUUUAAUUCCAGAAGGAAAAAUUGCAGCUCCUGAGUGUCACUGUCCCUGCCAGGAGGAGCAGGGUGGGCAGCAGGGUGAGGAGCAGCCAGGUUCAGUUCCAGAA